CCUACGGGAGGCAGCAGUGGGGAAUAUUGGGCAAUUGGCGCAAGCCUGACCCAGCAACGCCGCGUGAAGGAAGAAGGCUCUCGGGUUGUAAACUUCUUUUCUGAGGGACGAAGAAAGUGACGGUACCUCAGGAAUAAGCCACGGCUAACUACGGGCCAGCAGCCGCGGUAAUACGUAGGUGGCAAGCGUUAUCCGGAUUUCAUGGGUGUAAAGGGCGUGUAGGCGGGAAAGCAAGUCAGAUGUGAAAACGCAGGGGUCAAACCUGAGCCUGCAUUUGAAACUGUUUUUCUUGAGUGCUGGAGAGGCAAGCGGAAUGCCGGGUGUAGCGGUGAAAUGCGUAGAUAUACGGAGGAACACCGGUGGCGAAGGCGGAUUGCUGGACAGUAACUGACGCUGAGGCGCGAAAGCGUGGGGAGCGAACAGGAUUAGAUACCCGAGUAGUC
This 443-nucleotide ribosomal RNA is filed under the name uncultured bacterium. RNAcentral describes it as "partial 16S ribosomal RNA". It matches the Rfam family "Bacterial small subunit ribosomal RNA", at positions 338 to 795 of the family's 1533-position model. The record is from RNAcentral.